CCAAUAGCGUAUAUUAAAGUUGCUGCAGUUAAAAAGCUCGUAGUUGAAUUUCGGGACCAAUAUGUCGGUCGUGCCUCGGUACGUACUGGCAUCGUUGGUUUCUCCCUUCUGACGAACCAUGAUGUCAUUUAUUUGGUGUCGUGGGGAAUCAGGACUGUUACUUUGAAAAAAUUAGAGUGUUUAAAGCAGGCUCACGCUUGAAUACAUUAGCAUGGAAUAAUGAAAUAGGACGUUUGAUUCUAUUUUGUUGGUUUCUAGGAUCGACGUAAUGAUUAAUAGGGAUAGUUGGGGGCAUUAGUAUUCAAUUGUCAGAGGUGAAAUUCUUGGAUUUAUUGAAGACUAACUACUGCGAAAGCAUUUGCCAAGGAUGUUUUCAUUAAUCAAGAACGAAAGUUGGGGGAUCGAAGACGAUCAGAUACCGUCGUAGUCUUAACCAUAAACUAUGCCGACUAGGGAUCGGAUGAUGUUAAUUUUUUAAUGACUCAUUCGGCGCCUUACG
Molecule: ribosomal RNA, 499 nt
Filed under: uncultured Glomeromycotina
Lineage: Eukaryota; Fungi; Glomeromycota
Description: partial small subunit ribosomal RNA
Rfam family: Eukaryotic small subunit ribosomal RNA
Source: RNAcentral